UCAUAUAAAUUAUGUAAAUAAUUUGUUAUUAGGAAUUGAGCUCCUAUACUUUUAAAAGUACCAAGUCAUUGGUGCUUGUAAGUUUUCGGCCCUUGGAUUACAGGAUGUGUGGUUAGGAUAAUGUGGGCCCCCCUAGGGUUGAGUGGGUGGUUGGUUUAAUAGUAUAAUCUAACGGGUAAAAAUGAUCAAAGGUAGAGAUUUAACGGUAAAAAAUUUACAAGCACCAAGUGCUCGGUAGUUUUAAAAGCACCAUAGCCGGACUCUUGUUAUUAGAUAGAAUUAACAAUUAACAACCUAGUCGGUAAGUAUUUUGUCGAGAAAACGUUUGUAUAAGUGCAUCUAAUUUGCGUACUCUAGGGUUGUUAAAUAAUUUGCUGAUGAGUUGCAUAGAAUCAUAUGAGUUCGACUUCUAAACGUUGUUUAAUCAAAAUAAGAUAGUUAUUUUAUUAAGAUCGAUGCAGUGUUUUAAAACUUUGAGCAAUUAGUACAAUAACAAGAUAAACCAACAUUUUAGAUCAUAAUUCUCAAAUGACAAUCUCCAUCACUAAUAAGCUGUCAUCAAACACUUGUUCGAACAUCGAAAAAGGUCUUAAAAUUUCCUACCAGUCCAAAACAAAAGCAAAAUAGUGAAUUCUAUAUGCUUUGAAUUUCCUAAAAAGAACUUUCCAAUAUUAGGAUUGAAAAAUAUUAAAAAAAUGUUAACUUAUUUACCGUUUAUAUAGAAGCAUUUACUAUCUUUAUCAUAUUUUGUAAGGAGAAAUUAGAGUGAAGUAUGCCAAAAACGGUGAAUUAUUUACUGUGUUUGUUAAAAAUAAAAGUGGCUAAUAAUUCACCGUCUUUAUCAUAAUUCUUUGAGUGGUGAGCUAUUCUCCAUUUCUAGUCUAGAUUGCAUAAAAGUUAGGAAUAUUGAUAAAACGAAAAAUCAUUCACUGUUAUUUAGAAAAGAAAGCAGCGAAUGAUUCACUAAUUAUUUUUCAUUCCACACAAUCCCAAUUUAAUACCUACGUGGUGCUGAUGUGGCAAAAAUAAGAUUAAAUCUCCA
RNAcentral lists this long non-coding RNA (1042 nucleotides) under Ananas comosus (pineapple). RNAcentral's name for it is "long non-coding RNA (ACOM_LNC037903)". The record is from RNAcentral. Lineage: Eukaryota; Viridiplantae; Streptophyta; Magnoliopsida; Poales; Bromeliaceae.